GUAUUAGGAAGCGAGAAGUUUGCAUUUGGCUUCGGACCAGACUUUGGGGGUGAGAUUCCCUUCCUAUACU
Molecule: transfer RNA, 70 nt
Filed under: Conus spurius
Lineage: Eukaryota; Metazoa; Mollusca; Gastropoda; Neogastropoda; Conidae
Description: tRNA-Arg
Source: RNAcentral